AUUGAACGCUGGCGGCGUGCCUAACACAUGCAAGUCGAGCGGUAACAGGUGUAGCAAUACAUGCUGACGAGCGGCGAACGGGUGAGUAAUGCUUCGGAAUCUACCUUAUGGUAGGGAAUAACUAGCCGAAAGGUUAGCUAAUACCGCAUACGUCCUACGGGAGAAAGCAGGGGACCGCAAAACCUUGCGCCAAAAGAUGAGCAGAAGUCGGAUUAGCUAGUUGGUAGGGUAACGGCCUAACAAGGCGACGAUCCGUAGCUGGUCUGAGAGGACGACCAGCCACACUGGGACUGAGACACGGCCCAGACUCCUACGGGAGGCAGCAGUGGGGAAUAUUGGACAAUGGGGGAAACCCUGAUCCAGCGACGCCGCGUGUGUGAAGAAGGCCUGCGGGUUGUAAAGCACUUUUAGUGGGGAUGAAAUGUGCAGGGUUAAUACCUCUGCAUUUUGACCUAACCCACAGAAAAAGCACCGGCUAACUCUGUGCCAGCCGCCGCCGUAA
This 502-nucleotide ribosomal RNA is filed under the name uncultured bacterium. Its description in RNAcentral is "partial 16S ribosomal RNA". It matches the Rfam family "Bacterial small subunit ribosomal RNA", at positions 30 to 523 of the family's 1533-position model. The record is from RNAcentral.